AUUGAACGCUGGCGGCAGGCCUAACACAUGCAAGUCGAGCGGUAGAGAGGUGCUUGCAUCUCUUGAGAGCGGCGGACGGGUGAGUAAUGCCUAGGAAUCUGCCUAGUGGUGGGGGAUAACGUUCGGAAACGGACGCUAAUACCGCAUACGUCCUACGGGAGAAAGCGGGGGAUCUUCGGACCUCGCGCCAUUAGAUGAGCCUAGGUCGGAUUAGCUAGUUGGUGAGGUAAUGGCUCACCAAGGCGACGAUCCGUAACUGGUCUGAGAGGAUGAUCAGUCACACUGGAACUGAGACACGGUCCAGACUCCUACGGGAGGCAGCAGUGGGGAAUAUUGGACAAUGGCGAAGCCUGAUCCAGCCAUGCCGCGUGUGUGAAGAAGGUCUUCGGAUUGUAAAGCACUUAAGUUGGGAGGAAGGGUAGGUAACCUAAUACGUUGCUACUUUGACGUUACCGACAGAAUAA
RNAcentral lists this ribosomal RNA (464 nucleotides) under uncultured bacterium. Its description in RNAcentral is "bacterial SSU rRNA". It matches the Rfam family "Bacterial small subunit ribosomal RNA", at positions 30 to 489 of the family's 1533-position model. The record is from RNAcentral.